GACGAACGCUGGCGGCGUGCCUAAUACAUGCAAGUAGAACGCUGAAGGAGGAGCUUGCUUCUCUGGAUGAGUUGCGAACGGGUGAGUAACGCGUAGGUAACCUGCCUGGUAGCGGGGGAUAACUAUUGGAAACGAUAGCUAAUACCGCAUAAGAGUAGAUGUCGCAUGACAUUUGCUUAAAAGGUGCAAUUGCAUCACUACCAGAUGGACCUGCGUUGUAUUAGCUAGUUGGUGAGGUAACGGCUCACCAAGGCAACGAUACAUAGCCGACCUGAGAGGGUGAUCGGCCACACUGGGACUGAGACACGACCCAGACUCCUACGGGAGGCAGCAGUAGGGAAUCUUCGGCAAUGGACGGAAGUCUGACCGAGCAACGCCGCGUGAGUGAAGAAGGUUGUCGGAUCGUAAAGCUCUGUUGUAAGAGAAGAACGAGUGUGAGAGUGGAAAGUUCACACUGUGACGGUAUCUUACCAGAAAGGGACGGCUAACUACGUG
Molecule: ribosomal RNA, 495 nt
Filed under: uncultured bacterium
Lineage: Bacteria
Description: partial 16S ribosomal RNA
Rfam family: Bacterial small subunit ribosomal RNA
Source: RNAcentral